UACGUAGGGCGCAAGCGUUGUCCGGAAUUAUUGGGCGUAAAGAGCUCGUAGGCGGCUUGUCACGUCGGAUGUGAAAGCCCGGGGCUUAACCCCGGGUCUGCAUUCGAUACGGGCUAGCUAGAGUGUGGUAGGGGAGAUCGGAAUUCCUGGUGUAGCGGUGAAAUGCGCAGAUAUCAGGAGGAACACCGGUGGCGAAGGCGGAUCUCUGGGCAGUCACUGACGCUGAGGCGCGAAAGCUCGGGGAGCGAACGGG
RNAcentral lists this ribosomal RNA (253 nucleotides) under uncultured bacterium. Its description in RNAcentral is "partial 16S ribosomal RNA". It matches the Rfam family "Bacterial small subunit ribosomal RNA", at positions 524 to 776 of the family's 1533-position model. The record is from RNAcentral.